AGUUUGAUCCUGGCUCAGGACGAACGCUGGCGGCGUGCCUAAUACAUGCAAGUCGAACGAGAGCGACCGGUGCUUGCACUGGUCAAUCUAGUGGCGAACGGGUGAGUAACACGUGGGUAACCUGCCCAUCAGAGGGGGAUAACAUUCGGAAACGGAUGCUAAAACCGCAUAGGUCUUCGAACCGCAUGGUUUGAAGAGGAAAAGAGGCGCAAGCUUCUGCUGAUGGAUGGACCCGCGGUGCAUUAGCUAGUUGGUGAGGUAACGGCUCACCAAGGCCUUGAUGCAUAGCCGACCUGAGAGGGUGAUCGGCCACAUUGGGACUGAGACACGGCCCAAACUCCUACGGGAGGCAGCAGUAGGGAAUCUUCCGCAAUGGACGCAAGUCUGACGGAGCAACGCCGCGUGAGUGAAGAAGGUUUUCGAAUCGUAAAACUCUGUUGUUAGAGAAGAACAAGUGCUAGAGUAACUGUUAGCGCCUUGACGGUAUCUAACCAGAAAGCCACGGCUAACUACGUGCCAGCAGCCGCGGUAAUACGUAGGUGGCAAGCGUUGUCCGGAUUUAUUGGGCGUAAAGCGAGCGCAGGCGGUUCCUUAAGUCUGAUGUGAAAGCCCCCGGCUCAACCGGGGAGGGUCAUUGGAAACUGGGGAACUUGAGUGCAGAAGAGGAGAGUGGAAUUCCAUGUGUAGCGGUGAAAUGCGUAGAUAUAUGGAGGAACACCAGUGGCGAAGGCGACUCUCUGGUCUGUAACUGACGCUGAGGCUCGAAAGCGUGGGUAGCAAACAGGAUUAGAUACCCUGGUAGUCCACGCCGUAAACGAUGAGUGCUAAGUGUUGGAGGGUUUCCGCCCUUCAGUGCUGCAGUUAACGCAUUAAGCACUCCGCCUGGGGAGUACGACCGCAAGGUUGAAACUCAAAGGAUUGACGGGGACCCGCACAAGCGGUGGAGCAUGUGGUUUAAUUCGAAGCAACGCGAAGAACCUUACCAAGUCUUGACAUCCUUUGACCACUCUAGAGAUAGAGCUUUCCCUUCGGGACA
This 1036-nucleotide ribosomal RNA is filed under the name uncultured bacterium. RNAcentral describes it as "bacterial SSU rRNA". It matches the Rfam family "Bacterial small subunit ribosomal RNA", at positions 10 to 1028 of the family's 1533-position model. The record is from RNAcentral.